Unclassified non-coding RNA from Rhipicephalus microplus (southern cattle tick), 3875 nucleotides. NCBI's taxonomy places the organism in Eukaryota, Metazoa, Arthropoda, Arachnida, Ixodida, Ixodidae. The record is from RefSeq and is a predicted model, not a curated record.
UGCGCGUUGGCGAGUGUUGCUACAUUCAACAGGCGCGAAAGCGUGAACGUACUCGAAGGCUAACGUCAUGGCAUGUAAACCGCACAGACAAGCGCUCUUCGUAAAAGCCGACGGUGGCCCCAUGUACUUUGAGAUGGUGCCCUGCCCGGAGCGAAAAGAGAUACGCCAGCUCAUACUCGAUGGAGGUGGUGUUCUCUUGCAGCCGGGCAAGAAUCCGAAUGCCGUUCACUUGGUUCCCUCUUCCAUCGGAACUACACAGGGCCCCGAGGAUGUGUUCUCCGCCAAUUACAUACGCGCUUGUUGCGGCAGCGACAAGCUCUUUCCUCUCAAGGAGUUCAAAAUUCCGAGAGCGCCAGAAUUCGUGGCAAUCGACAACGCGGACGACACCAAAGAGCGAAAACUGCGCUCGGUUCGCUCGAGAAGUGAGUACACUCUCGGCGAUCAGAUUGCGAUGGCCAAGUACGUGGCGAAGGCGCCCAACGUGCGCGUCCGUGGCAACCAGGUGUACAAAGAAAUGGCUACGGCCGGCGUAGUUCCCGGUGCUCAUUCAUGGCAAUCGUUGAAGGAGCAUUACCUGAAGAAAAUACUCCCCUGGAAACACCUGUACGAGUCUCCAGACGCGAGCAAACUCCUUGCCAGGAAUAAACACGCGCCACACGAUAAGCAGGACUGGCCUCGCCGUGAUUCGCUGAGCGACGCUUCAGUCAUCGUGGAAGACAGUAGCGACGACGAGGCUAAGCGACAGCGUGCUCCUCGCUGUGAAGCACAAAAAAACGAGGGGGACGCAGAAACUGAAGUGGUUCUGGAAACAGAGAGCCAAGGUGAUGCAUCGUCUUCGCAGAAGCACAACACACCAGCUGUGUGCCAACGUGGAAGAAGCAAAAUGAAACGUAAAACGCUAUUGCUUUCAUCUCCAUGCUUUCUCAGCACUCCCAAUACAAGCACUGGUGGGAGCCCCUCUAGGCACGAAAGUAGAAUCUCGGCACCGAAGAAGAAAAGCUCGGGCUGGCAAGUCCGUCAAAAGCGAAGCCGCUCCCGAGAAGUUUUUGCCCCCUCUGAGGACACAGAGUGAAAGGUCUCCUGGCAAGACCUCACGCGCUCAAACACAAUCCUCACCAUGGUAAACAAGACAGUGGCAUAAGAGAAGGUACGCAAACCGCCGGAAAACUGGAGACCAUUGCGAAGCGAAAACAAAAACCACGAUCAUCUUCGAGGAAGGCCAGAAGUGCAAAACGGCAAGGGACACCUACCGAUGAUCACGCUGAACAGGAAAAGUACACGAGUGCUAAUGUUCGCAGUGUAUUAUGCACCAAUCUCCCUGACAAGCUGAGUGUUUUGGAAUGUGGUGAGCAGCAGAGUGCCGAAUCGUCGCCGCAAAAGGAAGUCCACAGCGCAACCUUUUCUAAACAUUCCAGUGGCUCUCCCAGACCCUCACAGCAUUUGCAGAAUACUAACCUCAGUGCCUCGGAAGAGCAGGCACCCUGUGCCAGCGAGCUCAGGUCCUUUCGGUCGCCUGUGAGAAAGGAACGAAGCAUUGGUUCCCAAGCGAAGCUUAGCAGUUGCUUGAGCGCUCUGCUUUUGUCCGAAUCAAGUGACGUCACUGACGCGGCAGUGCACUGAAUCUCCGCGCAAGCGAGCUUCCCAUAGAAGGAGGUCCUCGAGAUUCUCACGAAGAAAACAGCGACGUGUAGCAGCACAGCAGGGUAAUCUCAAUGACCGCUUGGGUGAACUGGUACACUCAGAAUCGACUGGCGAUGGCAUCAUUAUAACCAAUGCCUUACGUUCUUCAACAGAGUCCGUGUACAACACGGCAGAGAGUGAGGGCACAACUCAAGGCACCAAGCGUACGAAAAGAAGUGGGAGAAGUGUCCUCUCGCCACCAAAAGUGUCGGACACUGCUGCGUUACGUAAAAAUGAUGCAACAUUGCCUGCUAGCGAGGAUCAUUUCGUGAGGAGCACCCGCUGGAGUGCCAGCUACGAAAAGAAACGGAAAUCUGUGCAAGGUGCUGCCCAUGAGACAUCGGGUUUUGACAGUGCGGAUGAGUCCCUUCUGAAGAGGUUUGUGGAACAGGUGUCCGCAUGUCAUGUCACUGCCAUGGAUGACUGUGCUGCACAAGAUGAUGCAACCACACUUUCGUUUUCGAGUGAUGGCGGACUAUCCGACGACGAGUUGACUCCGGAGCUCGGAGAGCCUUCCAAGCGCGACAAAAUGGAUGAGGCGCAGCGGGAGCUUUCUAGGCUUCUCGGCAUCCUAAGAGCAGGAAAGAACUCGUCGCCACACGCAACGUGCCCGCCGCAGUGCACAUGCCCCCUCACGAGCCGGUACGCCCAGGUCGCUAGGGCAGCCGUAUCGCUCGGUGCCGUUCUGGCCUACCACGGCAUACCGCUUCCGUCGGGGGGAGCGACCCACCCUGCCGUGGCCAUGGCACUAGAACUGCUUUUGCGUCACUUGGAACGAAAUGCUGACGGUGGCAGUGGUUCAAAGUGAGCUGUGCUUCUUCCCCACCAUCAGCUCAGUGACAAAGGCGUCAUUAUGUGACGCCAUACUGUAAAGUUUGUAGACAAUCUUCGGGGACAGUGCGAUACUGAACGCACCGUGCACAGUAUUGUGUGCAUGCAACACCCUGAAAAACUAGUGCACGCAGUUUUGGUGGCGGCGAUGAACUUAAAUUUAAGUAUAAUGUAUUGUACAUUGUAUGCCUUCAUUUGAAGAAAAAAAGGAAAGCUUUGUUUGAAAGCUGUCAACUACCUCAUUGCACUGAAGCUUUAGUUUUGAUGUUUUUAUUUUUCUUUAUAUUCUUAUUCGUAUAAGGAUUUUACAGUAUGAAUGGCUUAUACUUUUUUUGCAAAGGAAAUUGACCAGGCCUUUUUUGCAUUGAACAAAAUAAACUUAGGUUUCUAGUUUCUAAAGCAGAACAAAACUAAAGAAACACUAUGUUGAAAAGAAUGUUCACUAUCAGGUAAUGACCUCGCCAACGUUUUAUUGCUCAUGUUAGGGCACAUGUCGCAAUCACAAUUUUGCAGAAGUAGUAGUGAAGCUAAGUCUUCAUUACAGAAAUCUUAAAACAAGCACCAGUCUCAAGAUACACAACCUUAAAAUGUGCCAAAUGCGUCGUUGGCAUUCUGGUUAAUCUUUCUAGCACUGCGAUUGUUAAAAUUUAGGACAACCUUGAAGGGCUAUGCUGCUCUUUGAAAACUCUUUAAAAACCGAUUCUCGAUUGAUUUUGUAGAAGCUUGUUGAGUUUAGUUAUGUACAUUUAUGUGAUCUCUUAUGUUCUAGUUUAUUGUUUUUAAAACAUCAAACAUGUCAUGUACUUUUUUGGGAGGGGGGGGCAGAAGUGAGAGAAUUGCAAAAUUGAUCAGCAUGUCAUAAUAAUUUGGAAGAAGGGCUGCAUGCAAGAAAGCAAAAAAAGAUUUUAUACGUCCAUUUAAUACAAACCUAUUCUGUUUUAAAAAUUCGCAAGUCAAAUCCCAGCCUGAAAUGAACCGACUCAUGAAAGUUCCAAAUACUGCAACCUUUGUUCAAGGAGGCUUUGAGAAUACGUCCUUUAUUGCACACAGUUCUGAUUGCAGAAUAUCAUUACAUGCUGGUCUACUUAGCCAUUCUUUCAGUUAACAAAAAAUGAACACUAUGAACACUAAUUGCCUUGAGUUGCUCCUCAUUCGUUAGUUACAAAGGGUCGUGUAAUUGGGUCUGGUAUCAAGUUGUGCACAAACAUUCACUGUGAAAGCAUUAAGUUUUUCGUGGUGAGGAAAAAGCGGUGCCGUCCGUACCCAUUUGUCAAUUGUUGCUAUCGGAGUGAGUGUAGAUACACUGUAGAUACAGAUAAGUAAUUAGCCUUUAUUUUUAGGAAUAAAGCUCCUUAUGGCAUGGC